RNAcentral lists this ribosomal RNA (660 nucleotides) under uncultured bacterium. RNAcentral's name for it is "bacterial SSU rRNA". It matches the Rfam family "Bacterial small subunit ribosomal RNA", at positions 738 to 1397 of the family's 1533-position model. The record is from RNAcentral.
CACUGACACUGAGGUGCGAAAGCGUGGGUAGCAAACAGGAUUAGAUACCCUGGUGGUCCACGCCGUAAACGAUGUCGACCAGCCGUUGGGUGCCUAGCGCACUUUGUGGCGAAGUUAACGCGAUAAGUCGACCGCCUGGGGAGUACGGCCGCAAGGUUAAAACUCAAAUGAAUUGACGGGGGCCCGCACAAGCGGUGGAGCAUGUGGUUUAAUUCGAUGCAACGCGAAGAACCUUACCUACUCUUGACAUCCUGCGAACUUGUGAGAGAUCACUUGGUGCCUUCGGGAGCGCAGAGACAGGUGCUGCAUGGCUGUCGUCAGCUCGUGUUGUGAAAUGUUGGGUUAAGUCCCGUAACGAGCGCAACCCUUGUCCUUAUUUGCCAGCGGGUAAUGCCGGGAACUCUAAGGAGACUGCCGGUGACAAACCGGAGGAAGGUGGGGACGACGUCAAGUCAUCAUGGCCCUUACGAGUAGGGCUACACACGUGCUACAAUGGCCGGUACAAAGGGUUGCGAGCUCGCGAGAGUCAGCUAAUCCCGAAAAGCCGGUCUCAGUCCGGAUCGGAGUCUGCAACUCGACUCCGUGAAGUCGGAAUCGCUAGUAAUCGUGAAUCAGAAUGUCACGGUGAAUACGUUCCCGGGCCUUGUACACACCGCCCGU